This 73-nucleotide transfer RNA is filed under the name Cavia porcellus (domestic guinea pig). It matches the Rfam family "tRNA". Rfam says of the family: Transfer RNA (tRNA) molecules are approximately 80 nucleotides in length. Their secondary structure includes four short double-helical elements and three loops (D, anti-codon, and T loops). Further hydrogen bonds mediate the characteristic L-shaped molecular structure. tRNAs have two regions of fundamental functional importance: the anti-codon, which is responsible for specific mRNA codon recognition, and the 3' end, to which the tRNAs corresponding amino acid is attached (by aminoacyl-tRNA synthetases). tRNAs cope with the degeneracy of the genetic code in two manners: having more than one tRNA (with a specific anti-codon) for a particular amino acid; and 'wobble' base-pairing, i.e. permitting non-standard base-pairing at the 3rd anti-codon position. The record is from Rfam by way of RNAcentral. Lineage: Eukaryota; Metazoa; Chordata; Mammalia; Rodentia; Caviidae.
GGGGGUUUAGCUCAGCGGCAUAAGCACCUGCCUUGCAAGCAGGCGGUCCUGAGUUCAAUUCCUGGUACCGAUA